RNAcentral lists this ribosomal RNA (405 nucleotides) under uncultured bacterium. RNAcentral describes it as "partial 16S ribosomal RNA". It matches the Rfam family "Bacterial small subunit ribosomal RNA", at positions 30 to 526 of the family's 1533-position model. The record is from RNAcentral.
AUUGAACGCUGCGGCAGGCUUAACCCAUGCAAGUCGAGCGAGCGGCGGACGGGUGAGUAAUGCUUAGGAAUCUGCCUAUUAGUGGGGGACAACAUCUCGAAAGGGAUGCUAAUCCCGCAUACUACUAGCUGCGCCUAAUUCGGAUUAGCUCGGUGGUGGGGUAAAGGCCUACCAAGGCGACGAUCUGUAGCGGGUCUGGGAUGAUGAUCCGCCACACUGGGACUUGUACACGGCCCAGGCUCCUACGGGAUGCAGCAGUGGGGAAUAUUGGACAAUGGGGGGAACCCUGAUCCAGCCAUGCCGCGUGUGUGAAGAAGGCCUUAUGGUUGUAAAGCACUUUAAGCGAGGAGGCGUUACUCGCAGAAUAAGCACCGGCUAACUCUGUGCCAGCAGCCGCGGUAAUAC